Molecule: long non-coding RNA, 337 nt
Organism: Malus domestica (apple)
Lineage: Eukaryota; Viridiplantae; Streptophyta; Magnoliopsida; Rosales; Rosaceae
Source: RefSeq, a predicted model, not a curated record
AGCAAGCAGAGUCAAGAGAGUAAAUUUGUUUACACAACUUUUAUGUGCUUUUGAAAUUAUUCUCGGAUUUUAUUUUUUGUUUAUGAAUCAUGACAGGUUUUUUAGAAUCAAAAUUGUGUUGCGUGAACAUGACAAAUAUCUCUCAAAAAGAUAAAGAAGAACGAGGACGAGGGAGAAUGGGGAGAUCCGCAGUAAUUGACAAAGAGUCUUUCCCUUUGUUUUUCCGUUGUCUUAUGGUGGUUGGUGGGUCUAAUUCAUGAGGGUUUAUAACUCAAAUAUCAACUACAUUUCCAGCCACCUACAAAUUUAAAGUGUGAUUGGCUUGCAGAAGAUGUGU